Molecule: ribosomal RNA, 441 nt
Filed under: uncultured bacterium
Lineage: Bacteria
Description: partial 16S ribosomal RNA
Rfam family: Bacterial small subunit ribosomal RNA
Source: RNAcentral
CUACGGGCUGCAGCAGUGGGGAAUAUUGCACAAUGGAGGAAACUCUGAUGCAGCAACGCCGCGUGGAGGAUGACACUUUUCGGAGCGUAAACUCCUUUUAUAUAGGAAGAAGAUGACGGUACUAUAUGAAUAAGCGCCGGCUAACUCCGUGCCAGCAGCCGCGGUAAUGAGCGGAGGGCGCAAGCGUUACUCGGAAUCACUGGGCGUAAAGAGCGUGUAGGCGGAUUAAAAAGUCAGAAGUGAAAUCCUAUAGCUUAACUAUAGAACUGCUUCUGAAACUCUUAAUCUAGAAUAUGGGAGAGGUAGAUGGAAUUUCUGGUGUAGGGGUAAAAUCCGUAGAGAUCAGAAGGAAUACCGAUUGCGAAGGCGAUCUACUAGAACAUUAUUGACGCUGAGACGCGAAAGCGUGGGGAGCAAACAGGAUUAGAUACCCGCGUAGUC